Molecule: small nuclear RNA, 103 nt
Organism: Prionailurus viverrinus (fishing cat)
Lineage: Eukaryota; Metazoa; Chordata; Mammalia; Carnivora; Felidae
Source: RefSeq, a predicted model, not a curated record
UUGUUUCAGCAGCAAAUAUACUAAAAUUGGAACGAUACAGAGAAGAUUAGCAUGGCCCUUGCACAAAGAUGACAUAUAAAUUCGUGAAGUGUUCCCUAUUUUA